UACGGAGGAUGCAAGCGUUAUCCGGAUUUAUUGGGUUUAAAGGGUGCGUAGGCGGGAAAAUAAGUCAGUGGUGAAAUCCUGCAGCUUAACUGCAGAACUGCCGUUGAUACUGAUAGUCUUGAGUUUGGUUAAGGUAGGCGGAAUGUGUAAUGUAGCGGUGAAAUGCUUAGAUAUUACACAGAACACCAAUUGCGUAGGCAGCUUACUGAGCCGACACUGACGCUGAGGCACGAAAGCGUGGGGAUCAAACAGGAUUAGA
RNAcentral lists this ribosomal RNA (259 nucleotides) under uncultured prokaryote. RNAcentral's name for it is "partial 16S ribosomal RNA". It matches the Rfam family "Bacterial small subunit ribosomal RNA", at positions 524 to 782 of the family's 1533-position model. The record is from RNAcentral.